CCUGUUCGCUCCCACGCUUUCGCGCCUCAGCGUCAGUUACAGACCAGAGAGUCGCCUUCGCCACUGGUGUUCCUCCACAUCUCUACGCAUUUCACCGCUACACGUGGAAUUCCACUCUCCUCUUCUGCACUCAAGUCCCCCAGUUUCCAAUGACCCUCCACGGUUGAGCCGUGGGCUUUCACAUCAGACUUAAAGGACCGCCUGCGCGCGCUUUACGCCCAAUAAUUCCGGACAACGCUUGCCACCUACGUAUUACCGCGGCUGCUGGCACGUAGUUAGCCGUGGCUUUCUGGUUAGGUACCGUCAAGGUACAAGCAGUUACUCUCGUACUUGUUCUUCCCUAACAACAGAGCUUUACGACCCGAAGGCCUUCUUCGCUCACGCGGCGUUGCUCCGUCAGACUUUCGUCCAUUGCGGAAGAUUCCCUACUGCUGCCUCCCGUAGGAGUCUGGGCCGUGUCUCAGUCCCAGUGUGGCCGAUCACCCUCUCAGGUCGGCUACGCAUCGUCGCCUUGGUGAGCCGUUACCUCACCAACUAGCUAAUGCGCCGCGGGCCCAUCUGUAAGUGACAGCAAAACCGUCUUUCCAUCUUCUCUCAUGCAAGAGAAGAAAUUAUCCGGUAUUAGCU
This 627-nucleotide ribosomal RNA is filed under the name uncultured soil bacterium. RNAcentral describes it as "partial 16S ribosomal RNA". The record is from RNAcentral.